CAGUAGGGAAUCUUCCACAAUGGACGAAAGUCUGAUGGAGCAACGCCGCGUGAGUGAAGAAGGGUUUCGGCUCGUAAAACUCUGUUGUUAGAGAAGAACAUAUCUGAGAGUAACUGUUCAGGUAUUGACGGUAUUUAACCAGAAAGCCACGGCUAACUACGUGCCAG
RNAcentral lists this ribosomal RNA (167 nucleotides) under uncultured bacterium. Its description in RNAcentral is "partial 16S ribosomal RNA". It matches the Rfam family "Bacterial small subunit ribosomal RNA", at positions 352 to 511 of the family's 1533-position model. The record is from RNAcentral.